RNAcentral lists this unclassified non-coding RNA (249 nucleotides) under uncultured Xylariales. Its description in RNAcentral is "sequence contains 5.8S rRNA gene, ITS2, 28S rRNA gene". Lineage: Eukaryota; Fungi; Ascomycota; Sordariomycetes; Xylariales. The record is from RNAcentral.
AACGCACAUUGCGCCCAUUAGUAUUCUAGUGGGCAUGCCUGUUCGAGCGUCAUUUCAACCCUUAAGCCUAGCUUAGUGUUGGGAAUCUACUUUAUUGUAGUUCCUCAAAUCCAACGGCGGAUCUGUGGUAUCCUCUGAGCGUAGUAAAUUUUUAUCUCGCUUUUGUUAGGUGCUGCAGCUCUCAGCCGCUAAAACCCCCAAUUUUUUGUGGUUGACCUCGGAUCAGGUAGGAAUACCCGCUGAACUUAA